RNAcentral lists this unclassified non-coding RNA (1360 nucleotides) under Bombus terrestris (buff-tailed bumblebee). Its description in RNAcentral is "misc RNA ENSBTSG00005021365.1". The record is from RNAcentral. Lineage: Eukaryota; Metazoa; Arthropoda; Insecta; Hymenoptera; Apidae.
GAUAAUACGACUAAUUUUUCAAGUGAUCGGUAAAGAUUAGGUAACAGUAACUACAAGCUGCAUCUGAUUAACGAAAUGUAAUAGUUCAUUUUCAUUAACAUUAAUAAUGUACAGAACAUUUUACAAAAAUGGACAUCUCAAAGCAUUAUUUCGUCCACUUUCCUUUACUUUUUUUUAAUGCUUUUAAUCUACGAGGCAUACUGUCAAUUAAAUUUUUAAUUAUUUGUAGUUCAAUAUUGUACCAUUCCUGUUGUGUUCUUCCCCAUAAUCCACGAACACUUCAAGGUGGAUUAUUAUAUUUUGCCAGCCUUCUUUUCAAAAUGGACCACGAAUUUUCGAUCGGAUUCAUAUCCGAACUUUGUGCUGGCCACUUCAUCACAGAAAAAUUUUGAUUUUCUAGCCAGGCUUUAACUAUUUUUGCAGUAUACUUAGGAUCCUCGUCUUGUUGAAAUACUACUUCACUUCAUUCACUUCACUUCGUUCAUUAUAUCCAAUAGAAUUAACAACAGAAGGUAAAUUGCUUUAUAGAAUGGCCAAAUAAUGCUCUUUUCGCAUUAUACCUUUGAUUCGAACUAAGGAACCAAUACCUCUGUGAGUAAAGCAACCCCAACACAUAAUUGAGUCACCUCCAAACUUCAUAGUUUGUUUUAUGCCACCUGGUUGAUCAUUAUUCUCGGAUGAAGUCCAAUAUACCAGGACCUUCUGUCGGAUUCGAAUCUGUUAAUUUUUGUUUCGUCACUCCAUAUAACUCUUUUCCAAUCUUCGGUCGUCCAUUCUUGGUACUAGGUGUCAAUAAAUUGUUUUCGUAAUUUUUUUUUCGUAAUAUUUUUGUUUGGAAGAGCUGGUUUACUUUCUUUUUCCUUCGCUCGGAAACCAAUUCUCUUUAAAGAGCGACGAAUGGUCAAUUCGCUAGCACUUAUUUCGAUUUCCUGAGCAGCAAUUUUUGGUGUUUUGUAACAACCCGACCGAAUACAGUGUGCAAUUUCACGUGCUGCUCUAUCCGAAAUAAAUCGCGGUCUACGGUUUUGUGAAGAAAUUGGUGCACUAACAUAUUUUUUCUUAUUCUUGCAACUAUCGUAUGACUGACACUACAUUUCUCUGUUUGCCGCAACGACAAACCUUUAUCAAACAAACAAAUAAUACUGUUCUUUUUAUCUUCACUAAGUGGCUUCAUCUUGGAUUAGGUAUAUCAAACUGAAAAGUAACCUAACAAUGGUGUGGAACAGUUGACUGCGAAACAGUGGACAAUCAGUGCCUACUGACAGUUUCGUUUCCCUGACAUUUAUGUAGUAUCGUGAGGAAAAAACCUGGUUAGAAACUAACCAAAACAAUGUCGUCUGUCCUUCGGCUGUUAGUUUAC